AUUGAACGCUGGCGGCAGGCCUAACACAUGCAAGUCGAACGAGUGGCGGACUGGUGAGUAAUGUCUGGGAAACUGCCUGAUAGUGGGGGAUAACUACUGGACACGGUCGCUAAUACCGCCUACCAUCGGAUGUGCCUAGUUGGGAUUAGCUAGUAGGUGGGGUAAUGGCACACCUAGGCGACGAGCCCUAGCUGGUCUGAGAGGAUGAACAGCCACACUGGAACGGAGACACGGUCCAGACUCCUACGGGAGGCAGCAGUGGGGAAUAUUGGACAAUGGGCGCAAGCCUGAUGCAGCCAUGCCGCGUGUAUGAAGAAGGCCUUCGGGUUGUAAAGUACUUUCAGCGAGGAGGCGUUACUCGCAGAAGAAGCAUCGGCUAACUCCGUGCCAGCAGCCGCGGUAAUAC
This 406-nucleotide ribosomal RNA is filed under the name uncultured bacterium. RNAcentral describes it as "partial 16S ribosomal RNA". It matches the Rfam family "Bacterial small subunit ribosomal RNA", at positions 30 to 526 of the family's 1533-position model. The record is from RNAcentral.